AACGAACGCUGGCGGCAGGCUUAACACAUGCAAGUCGAACGGGUGUAGCAAUACAUCAGUGGCAGACGGGUGAGUAACGCGUGGGAACGUGCCCUUCGGUUCGGAAUAACUCAGGGAAACUUGAGCUAAUACCGAAUACGUGCGAGAGCAGAAAGAUUUAUCGCCGAAGGAUCGGCCCGCGUCCGAUUAGCUAGUUGGUGAGGUAAUGGCUCACCAAGGCGACGAUCGGUAGCUGGUCUGAGAGGAUGAUCAGCCACACUGGGACUGAGACACGGCCCAGACUCCUACGGGAGGCAGCAGUGGGGAAUAUUGGACAAUGGGCGCAAGCCUGAUCCAGCCAUGCCGCGUGAGUGAUGAAGGCCCUAGGGUUGUAAAGCUCUUUCGCCAGGGACGAUAAUGACGGUACCUGGAUAAGAAGCCCCGGCUAACUUCGUGCCAGCCGCCGCGGUAA
Molecule: ribosomal RNA, 451 nt
Filed under: uncultured bacterium
Lineage: Bacteria
Description: partial 16S ribosomal RNA
Rfam family: Bacterial small subunit ribosomal RNA
Source: RNAcentral